UUUUUCCUGCUGCGCAGGCUUCGAUUCCGGUGCAGGUGCGGGGGUGUACCCUCAUGAAGGAAAUCACAUCCCUGUGUGACCCCGCCCCUGUGGCGUCCUUGGCUCUGAUCCGGUGUCUGGCUGAUGUCAGUGACCUGGCUUAUGAGUGGUGGAGAAAUUGAAAGUGCUCUGAGUUGGAUCACCCUAAAGGUGUUAUCUGUCUACUCUCCUGCUCCAGUAAUUGUAUUAGAGAAGGGCUGAGACCAGGCCUUGGAAGCAGAGGGGAGGGAAGGGGCCCCAGGGCCAGCAGUGUUGACCUCAGAACCAUUGGAUAGCCCCAUAUCACCCCCUCUGCAAGCAGCUCUUCUGAGCAGGGACCAGAGACCUUAGAAAGAAGCAGGCUGUG
Molecule: long non-coding RNA, 385 nt
Filed under: Bos mutus (wild yak)
Lineage: Eukaryota; Metazoa; Chordata; Mammalia; Artiodactyla; Bovidae
Description: lncRNA (ENSBMUG00000015616.1)
Source: RNAcentral